GCCUUCGUGGUGUAGAGGUCAGCACACUCGAUGCGUAUUCGAGAGGUCCGUGGUUCAAGUCCGGGUAAGGGCA
This 73-nucleotide transfer RNA is filed under the name Stegodyphus mimosarum. It matches the Rfam family "tRNA". From Rfam's summary of the family: Transfer RNA (tRNA) molecules are approximately 80 nucleotides in length. Their secondary structure includes four short double-helical elements and three loops (D, anti-codon, and T loops). Lineage: Eukaryota; Metazoa; Arthropoda; Arachnida; Araneae; Eresidae. The record is from Rfam by way of RNAcentral.